GCCGGAUCUGAUCUGAAAUUGAUACUUUGUAUUAUACAUAUAAAAUGAUAAAGUAAGUUUCCAAAUGAUACAACUAGUACAAAAGCAACAGUUACAUUAAAGUUUCAUUCCUUCCAACACAUUUUUAAACAGUUAUUACAGUAUGUAGGUUCUCCAAGGAAGGUCGACUGGAAGGAAGUACAGGGGAAGUUUUGAAUGUUACUAAAAAAUGAGGGAUAGUUGGAAAGGGCAGACAUAUCAUCUUGUGAUUAACCACCUAUAUACGGAUCACUCAGGACACUUAGUAUUCUUAAACGUUUGAUAGAGUGCCUUACACUCAGCAUGAUGAUAUCGUUCGUUAUGUUAUCAGAAUAUUGAUUACGGUCAAUGCAAAUGUUUAAGGGAACAGUUUUUUUGUAGUUUAUUAUUUAGAUGAUGAGCUUUCAGUAAUGUUUUUAUUCUGACUAAUUGGGGAAUACUAUAAUAGUAGUGUUUAUUCCAUAGUUUCACUUAAGUGCAUGUAUGACCACCUAAAAUCACAUAUGACAACACACAAAAAUGCAUAAAUCUGAAAUAUAUGAUUUUUUAUUAUUGAUAAUUUUGAAAAGGGUUUCCCUUUCGGGAUUUCGUUGAGUAGACGAUAAGUAAUGGAUUUGUGUAUCCCUGCAAGAGGAUAAAUUAUGAUGUGACCCAUUGGGUUCACAUUUAUAUGAAUACUGGUC
Molecule: long non-coding RNA, 701 nt
Filed under: Mytilus galloprovincialis (Mediterranean mussel)
Lineage: Eukaryota; Metazoa; Mollusca; Bivalvia; Mytilida; Mytilidae
Source: RNAcentral